This 387-nucleotide unclassified non-coding RNA is filed under the name soil metagenome. RNAcentral describes it as "partial contains 5.8S ribosomal RNA, internal transcribed spacer 2, and large subunit ribosomal RNA". The stretch from base 1 to 120 matches the Rfam family "5.8S ribosomal RNA", at positions 35 to 154 of the family's 154-position model. The record is from RNAcentral.
GAUGAAGAACGCAGUGAAAUGCGAUAAGUAAUGUGAAUUGCAGAAUUCAGUGAAUCAUCGAAUCUUUGAACGCACCUUGCACCCUUUGGUAUUCCGAAGGGUAUGCUCGUUUGAGUGUCAUUGUACUCUCACACUUCUAAUUCCUUUCGGGAUUGGGAGCGGUGGACUUGGGUGUUGCUGCUUUAGUUGUGGCUCACCUCAAAUAAGUUAGUGCAACUCUUGGUUGGACAUAGUACGGCGUGAUAAGUGUCUUCGCCGGCGCCUCUGUAAGGAGGGUGGCCGAUCGGGAGCUCUGUGCUUCAAACCGUCUUCGGACAAUCUUUGACAACUUGACCUCAAAUCGAGUAGGACUACCCGCUGAACUUAAGCAUAUCAAUAAGCGGGGGA